Chinchilla lanigera (long-tailed chinchilla) is the source of this 788-nucleotide long non-coding RNA. RefSeq lists it as uncharacterized. The record is from RefSeq and is a predicted model, not a curated record. The transcript has 5 exons. NCBI's taxonomy places the organism in Eukaryota, Metazoa, Chordata, Mammalia, Rodentia, Chinchillidae.
UUCAGACAAUGAGGGCCUUACACAGAACUAGAGCUUACAGAGGUUUCCUGAAUGUGUGACAUGGGAAGCCUCUGGUUAGGUGACUCCAGCUGUGUUUUGUGGGACCCGCAUUCUGCGAGGGAAACUUGGUGAGCAUCUGGGAAACACACAGAUGUGACUGCAAAGGAACAAGAACCCAGCACAGGAAAGGUUCGAAAGGCAAUAGGGCCAAGCUACUAGUGACUGAAACCUCUGAAACCAUGAGCUUCCUUCAGUUGAUUGUCUCAGAAACACAGAUUACCUCUCAGCAAGUACAACUUGCUGCUUAUGCUUGGACAGCUUCAUGUGAGGUAAUAAUUGUACAAAUGUGGAUGUCUCAGCCAAGACAGACGUGGAGCCAGGGCUGCUGAUGAGGUAUAAAGAAGAGAUUUCUCCCUCCCUUCUCCAGUCUGCUGGCCCUUGUGUUCAUGACAUCUCCUGAGAGAUUGGCAUCUCUAGUAUAUAAGGCCUCCCAAACUUACCGCCAGGAGAGAUUUUUCUGAUGGAAUAAUACAACAACAGCCCUGUUAUGAAGAAUUCACUUAUGGAAAUGCUACCUUAACCAAUCAUGAUCAAAUAAGGACACUGUAAUCACCCACUGAAGACCAAGACAGUAGAGGAACGGGCCAAGAUAUGUGCAUAUUUAGAAGUAGGAAGACAAAUGAGCAAAAGUUCAAAACAAAGACUGUGCUGGAGCAACACAGGCACUGGUGCAAUUUGGAAGACAGUACAAUGGUGUGGGACUGUGCCCCUAAGGGGCAGUCACUGGA